This 117-nucleotide ribosomal RNA is filed under the name bacterium. The record is from RNAcentral.
CCCGGUGGUCUUAGCGAGAGGGUCACACCCGUUCCCAUCCCGAACACGGCAGUUAAGCCUCUCAGCGACGGAAGUAGUUGGUCCGCAGGGGCCUGCCAGAUAAGUGCAUCGCCGGGU